This is a long non-coding RNA of Astatotilapia calliptera (eastern happy), 1550 nucleotides long. Lineage: Eukaryota; Metazoa; Chordata; Actinopteri; Cichliformes; Cichlidae. The record is from Ensembl.
GGGGGAUGCUCGUAAUAGACACGGAGAGGUGGAGGCAGAUCAUCCACUGUGGUGGCCUAAAGGGAAGAAGCAAGAAAAGGUAGAUCUGCUGCUUUCCUGGUGUUCAUUACUGUCCUCUACUAUAAGUAUGGCUGCAGAAUUUAAGGACAUGGCACAAACAGUUUACCACAAUGCAAAUAUAUCGUCAUAAUUAGCUUUAAAGUGGCAGCUGGAUAACAAAACGACUGCUGGGAUUGACUGUGAGGCAGGGCUGGACUGGCCAUCGGGCGUACCGGGCAUUUGCCUGGAGGGCCGCUCGUGAUUUUUCGUUUAUAUGGGCCGAUGGGGUUUUAUUUCUUUUCUUUUUUUCAACGGUAUAAAUGAAAGCUGGUGGAUUGGCCAGUUGGUCAUGAUCGACUCUGGGCUGGACCAAUUACAGCCGAGGAGGUCGGACUUUAAAGUUGAGGUGAAAAGGAACACGGUUUGUCCCGCACUACUUCAGCUAGAAAGUUGCUAAUUCAAUCAUGAAACUGAUCAAUGAUCAGCUGAUCGGCUUUUCUCUCUGCGCCGGAAAAAGGAAACCAGCAGAUGUCGCGCUAAACAACAGCAGCACGUUUAAGCUUGAUCAGCUGUUGUUAGAAUUUAUUUAAUAUUAAUUUCUAGUAUCAGCUGAUGUUUGCUGGAGCCACAGCUGUAAAGCUGCUGGUCAUGAUGUCGGUUUGGAUAUGUGGUGAGAAGGAAACAUGAAGAUGAAACCAGGAGAUGUCCUUACUGAAUCAUCAGAGCUGUGAUGGAGAAACAGGUUUACCUUUAGGUGACAUGGAUGAGUUGAAGUUAUGAACUGUUUCUGAGAGACAAAUAACACCAGGAUCCUUUUCUAAGCAGCUGACAGCUGGUAACUGUGCAGGGGCGGGUCUAGCAAAGUGUUGCCAGGGGGGGGAGUGGUUCCCUUUUUUUUUUUCUUUUCUUUUUUUGCUGGGAGUUGGCAACCCUAUUAGUUAUAGGUAUAUGUAAUUAUAAAUUAGGUUGUUUUAUAUUUUUGCUAAGUACUGUUUAGAAUAGCAGAAUCAUGAGGAUGGUGAGGUUUAAGUUUAUUAUAAAGGCUUUAUGGCUUUAAUACCACGGAGGGCCGGUCACUGGUCAAAGUGCCCGGGCUGAUUUUUUGUCCCAGUCCAGCUCUGCUGUGAGGCUUUCAAAGAAGAAACUAGUGAUCGAUAAUCGGAAAUAAACCACAACUAUCUGUUUCAUUAGCAUCUAGCAGCACAGUGUCAGCACGCUGAUGUGAAAGUGAGAAACACACAGGGAGGGAGCAUUUCAGCUAACAGGGGAUUUCUUCAGACCCUUUUUGUUUUCCAAACAAUAUUCAUGUAAUGCCAGACGCAAUCUACGUCUAAUAGAACUGAGAUUUCUGCUUCAAUCAGAUGCAAAGCCACUGGGGUACACUCAGCAUGAGAAGCGGAGAUAAAGACAGAAGGCAGUACUGUAUGUGGCUGUGUGAUGUAAAGCAGGUGAAACAGGCAGAAAAAUGACAGGGACAACGAAACAAGAGUCAAAGAAGGUGAGUUAAGAUU